GACGAACGCUGGCGGCGUGCCUAAUACAUGCAAGUUGAGCGAUGAAGAUUGGUGCUUGCACCAAUUUGAAGAGCAGCGAACGGGUGAGUAACGCGUGGGGAAUCUGCCUUUGAGCGGGGGACAACAUUUGGAGACGAAUGCUAAUACCGCAUAACAACUUUAAACAUAAGUUUUAAGUUUGAAAGAUGCAAUUGCAUCACUCAAAGAUGAUCCCGCGUUGUAUUAGCUAGUUGGUGAGGUAAAGGCUCACCAAGGCGAUGAUACAUAGCCGACCUGAGAGGGUGAGCGGCCACAUUGGGACUGAGACACGGCCCAAACUCCUACGGGAGGCAGCAGUAGGGAAUCUUCGGCAAUGGACGAAAGUCUGACCGAGCAACGCCGCGUGAGUGAAGAAGGUUUUCGGAUCGUAAAACUCUGUUGGUAGAGAAGAACGUUGGUGAGAGUGGAAAGCUCAUCAAGUGACGGUAACUACCCAGAAAGGGACGGCUAACUACGUG
This 497-nucleotide ribosomal RNA is filed under the name uncultured bacterium. RNAcentral describes it as "partial 16S ribosomal RNA". It matches the Rfam family "Bacterial small subunit ribosomal RNA", at positions 28 to 507 of the family's 1533-position model. The record is from RNAcentral.